CAAGCACCAGAGCUAAUCCCAAUAAAAGUUAAUGAGGCAUUGGAGUUAGUUGGAAUUGAUUUGAUUGGGCCGCUGCCAACAACUGAAGAAGGUUACAAGUAUGUCUGUACAUUCACAGACUAUUACACAAAAUUUGUUGAUUUUUUCCCCAUCAAAAGCAAAGCUGCAGAUGGUGUUGCAAAAUGCAUAAAGAAAUUUACAUGCAGAUGGGGUGCACCUGCACGGCUUCUUUCAGACCAAGGGAGAGAAUUUGUAGCAAAAGUGAAUGAUGAAGUCUGCAGAGAAUUUGGCAUCAAACGAUCAGUGACCAGCGCAUAUCACCCUCAAACAAA
This is a long non-coding RNA of Dendronephthya gigantea, 332 nucleotides long. RefSeq lists it as uncharacterized. The transcript is spliced from 3 exons. The record is from RefSeq and is a predicted model, not a curated record. NCBI's taxonomy places the organism in Eukaryota, Metazoa, Cnidaria, Anthozoa, Malacalcyonacea, Nephtheidae.